RNAcentral lists this microRNA (24 nucleotides) under Octopus vulgaris (common octopus). RNAcentral's name for it is "Ovu-Mir-10-P3_5p (mature (guide))". RNAcentral also lists the same sequence under 1 other name. The record is from RNAcentral. Lineage: Eukaryota; Metazoa; Mollusca; Cephalopoda; Octopoda; Octopodidae.
ACCCUGAGACCGUUUAACUUGUAC